AUUCACUGCUGUUUGAUGGUUCAACCUCUUCAUGGAGGAUGGUUCAGUUAACAAACAUGAUCGUUCAGUUCCUGUAGAAAAAAUGUGGCUUUUCCUGAUUGUUUCAUGGCUCAGAAAGGAAUUUAUAUAUUAACAAACUGUGAAGCCUUUGAAGCUGAGCUUUUGCACAAAGCUACACCGAGAAUGUAGAGCCAAGUUGCCACCCCAUUGUCACCUCCCUGUCACCUAACUCACAUGGCAGUAAGUAGC
This 249-nucleotide long non-coding RNA is filed under the name Mustela putorius furo (domestic ferret). Its description in RNAcentral is "lncRNA (ENSMPUG00000025043.1)". Lineage: Eukaryota; Metazoa; Chordata; Mammalia; Carnivora; Mustelidae. The record is from RNAcentral.